GUUGUAUGGUUAAGUGACUAAGCGUACACGGUGGAUGCCUUGGCAGUCAGAGGCGAUGAAAGACGUAGUAACUUGCGAUAAGCCCAGAUUAGGUAGUAACAACCAUUUGAGUCUGGGAUUUCUGAAUGGGGAAACCCACUUACAUAAGUAAGUAUCAUUAACUGAAUACAUAGGUUAAUGAGGCGAACCGGGGGAACUGAAACAUCUAAGUACCCCGAGGAAAAGAAAUCAACCGAGAUUCCGAAAGUAGCGGCGAGCGAAAUUGGACUAGCCCUUAAGCUUUACACGCGUUAGACGAACGGUCUGGAAAGUCCGACGAUACAGGGUGAUAGUCCCGUAGUUGACGACGUGUGUUCAGUGAAAUCGAGUAGGGCGGGACACGUGAUAUCCUGUCUGAAUAUGGGGGGACCAUCCUCCAAGGCUAAAUACUACUGACUGACCGAUAGUGAACCAGUACCGUGAGGGAAAGGCGAAAAGAACCCCUGUGAGGGGAGUGAAAUAGAACCUGAAACCGUGUACGUACAAGCAGUAGGAGCAGGCUUGUCCUGUGACUGCGUACCUUUUGUAUAAUGGGUCAGCGACUUAUAUUCAGUGGCAAGGUUAACCAUCUAGGGGAGCCGUAGGGAAACCGAGUCUUAACUGGGCGUUCAGUCUCUGGAUAUAGACCCGAAACCAGGUGAUCUAGCCAUGGGCAGGUUGAAGGUUGAGUAACAUCAACUGGAGGACCGAACCGACUAAUGUUGAAAAAUUAGCGGAUGACUUGUGGCUAGGGGUGAAAGGCCAAUCAAACCUGGAGAUAGCUGGUUCUCCCCGAAAGCUAUUUAGGUAGCGCCUCGGACGAAUACUACUGGGGGUAGAGCACUGUUAAGGCUAGGGGGUCAUCCCGACUUACCAACCCUUUGCAAACUCCGAAUACCAGUAAGUACUAUCCGGGAGACACACGGCGGGUGCUAACGUCCGUCGUGGAGAGGGAAACAACCCAGACCGCCAGCUAAGGUCCCAAAUUACUACUAAGUGGGAAACGAUGUGGGAAGGCUCAGACAGCCAGGAUGUUGGCUUAGAAGCAGCCAUCAUUUAAAGAAAGCGUAAUAGCUCACUGGUCGAGUCGGCCUGCGCGGAAGAUGUAACGGGGCUAAGUAGUAAACCGAAGCUGCGGCAAUAUACUUUUGUAUAUUGGGUAGGGGAGCGUUCUGUAAGCGGUUGAAGGUGUGUGGUAACGCAUGCUGGACGUAUCAGAAGUGCGAAUGCUGACAUGAGUAACGAUAAAGGGGGUGAAAAACCUCCUCGCCGGAAGACCAAGGGUUCCUGUCCAACGUUAAUCGGGGCAGGGUAAGUCGACCCCUAAGGCGAGGCCGAAAGGCGUAGUCGAUGGGAAACGGGUUAAUAUUCCCGUACUUCUUACAAUUGCGAUGGGGGGACGGAGAAGGCUAGGUGGGCCUGGCGACGGUUGUCCAGGUUCAAGUGCGUAGGCUGAGAGAUUAGGUAAAUCCGGUUUCUCUUAAGGCUGAGACACGACGUCGAGCACCUACGGGUGUGAAGUCAUUGAUGCCAUGCUUCCAGGAAAAGCCUCUAAGCUUCAGAUUGUAAGGAAUCGUACCCCAAACCGACACAGGUGGUCGGGUAGAGAAUACCAAGGCGCUUGAGAGAACUCGGGUGAAGGAACUAGGCAAAAUGGUACCGUAACUUCGGGAGAAGGUACGCUCUCGACGGUGAAGUCCCUUGCGGAUGGAGCUAUUGAGAGUCGCAGAUACCAGGUGGCUGCAACUGUUUAUUAAAAACACAGCACUGUGCAAAAUCGUAAGAUGACGUAUACGGUGUGACGCCUGCCCGGUGCCGGAAGGUUAAUUGAUGGGGUUAGACUUCGGUCGAAGCUCUUGAUCGAAGCCCCGGUAAACGGCGGCCGUAACUAUAACGGUCCUAAGGUAGCGAAAUUCCUUGUCGGGUAAGUUCCGACCUGCACGAAUGGCGUAAUGAUGGCCACGCUGUCUCCACCCGAGACUCAGUGAAAUUGAAAUCGCUGUGAAGAUGCAGUGUACCCGCGGCUAGACGGAAAGACCCCGUGAACCUUUACUACAGCUUGGCACUGAACAUUGACCCUACAUGUGUAGGAUAGGUGGGAGGCUUUGAAGCACGUACGCCAGUAUGUGUGGAGCCGUCCUUGAAAUACCACCCUUGUAGUGUUGAUGUUCUAACGUCGACCCCUUAUCGGGGUUGCGGACAGUGCCUGGUGGGUAGUUUGACUGGGGCGGUCUCCUCCCAAAGAGUAACGGAGGAGCACGAAGGUGGGCUAAUCACGGUUGGACAUCGUGAGGUUAGUGCAAUGGCAUAAGCCCGCUUGACUGCGAGAAUGACAAUUCGAGCAGGUGCGAAAGCAGGUCAUAGUGAUCCGGUGGUUCUGAAUGGAAGGGCCAUCGCUCAACGGAUAAAAGGUACUCCGGGGAUAACAGGCUGAUACCGCCCAAGAGUUCAUAUCGACGGCGGUGUUUGGCACCUCGAUGUCGGCUCAUCACAUCCUGGGGCUGAAGUCGGUCCCAAGGGUAUGGCUGUUCGCCAUUUAAAGUGGUACGCGAGCUGGGUUUAGAACGUCGUGAGACAGUUCGGUCCCUAUCUGCCGUGGGCGUUGGAAGAUUGAAGGGGGCUGCUCCUAGUACGAGAGGACCGGAGUGGACGAACCUCUGGUGUUCGGGUUGUGUCGCCAGACGCAUUGCCCGGUAGCUAAGUUCGGAAUCGAUAACCGCUGAAAGCAUCUAAGCGGGAAGCGAGCCCUGAGAUGAGUCUUCCCUGAUACUUUAAGUAUCCUAAAGGGUUGUCGGAGACUACGACGUUGAUAGGUCAGGUGUGUAAGUGCUGUGAGGCAUUGAGCUAACUGAUACUAAUUGCCCGUGAGGCUUAACCAUACAACACCCAAGGGGUUU
This 2915-nucleotide ribosomal RNA is filed under the name Vibrio parahaemolyticus. RNAcentral's name for it is "23S ribosomal RNA". It matches the Rfam family "Bacterial large subunit ribosomal RNA". The record is from RNAcentral. Lineage: Bacteria; Pseudomonadati; Pseudomonadota; Gammaproteobacteria; Vibrionales; Vibrionaceae.